RNAcentral lists this ribosomal RNA (367 nucleotides) under uncultured organism. Its description in RNAcentral is "partial 16S ribosomal RNA". It matches the Rfam family "Bacterial small subunit ribosomal RNA", at positions 527 to 896 of the family's 1533-position model. The record is from RNAcentral.
GGAGGGUGCAAGCGUUAUCCGGAUUUAUUGGGUUUAAAGGGUGCGCAGGCGGAAUGAUAAGUCAGUGGUGAAAUCCUACGGCUCAACCGUAGAACUGCCAUUGAUACUGUUGUUUUUGAGUACAGUUGUAGUGGGCGGAAUAUGUCAUGUAGCGGUGAAAUGCAUAGAUAUGACAUAGAACACCGAUCGCGAAGGCAGCUCACUAAGCUGAAACUGACGCUCAGGCACGAAAGCGUGGGGAGCAAACAGGAUUAGAUACCCUGGUAGUCCACGCUGUAAACGAUGAUUACUCGUUGUUGGCGAUACACUGUCAGCGACUGAACGAAAGUAUUAAGUAAUCCACCUGGGGAGUACGGUCGCAAGAUUG